AAAAAAUCCUAGAACCCUCCAGGGGGCAGCAGAGAAAGCCAUUUGAAGCCUGAAAACAGACUGAGUGAAAGAGCCUGUCUAAGGAACAUGUCUACAUUGGAAUCACACUCUUAGGCUUUUGCUCUCAGAGCAGUAGGAUAUCACAUCUUUCUACUGAGAGGCAGAGAGUCCACCACCCAUCCUGCAGUUGAGCCUGAUAUUUUACAAAACCCCUAAGUAAAGAGAAAUGCUGUUUGCAUUCUUUCUCAUUGUUCC
RNAcentral lists this long non-coding RNA (255 nucleotides) under Homo sapiens (human). Its description in RNAcentral is "HSALNT0076339". The record is from RNAcentral. Lineage: Eukaryota; Metazoa; Chordata; Mammalia; Primates; Hominidae.